RNAcentral lists this ribosomal RNA (651 nucleotides) under Bacillus sp. (in: firmicutes). RNAcentral describes it as "bacterial SSU rRNA". It matches the Rfam family "Bacterial small subunit ribosomal RNA", at positions 565 to 1215 of the family's 1533-position model. The record is from RNAcentral. Lineage: Bacteria; Bacillati; Bacillota; Bacilli; Caryophanales; Bacillaceae.
GGGCUCGCAGGCGGUUUCUUAAGUCUGAUGUGAAAGCCCCCGGCUCAACCGGGGAGGGUCAUUGGAAACUGGGGAACUUGAGUGCAGAAGAGGAGAGUGGAAUUCCACGUGUAGCGGUGAAAUGCGUAGAGAUGUGGAGGAACACCAGUGGCGAAGGCGACUCUCUGGUCUGUAACUGACGCUGAGGAGCGAAAGCGUGGGGAGCGAACAGGAUUAGAUACCCUGGUAGUCCACGCCGUAAACGAUGAGUGCUAAGUGUUAGGGGGUUUCCGCCCCUUAGUGCUGCAGCUAACGCAUUAAGCACUCCGCCUGGGGAGUACGGUCGCAAGACUGAAACUCAAAGGAAUUGACGGGGGCCCGCACAAGCGGUGGAGCAUGUGGUUUAAUUCGAAGCAACGCGAAGAACCUUACCAGGUCUUGACAUCCUCUGACAAUCCUAGAGAUAGGACGUCCCCUUCGGGGGCAGAGUGACAGGUGGUGCAUGGUUGUCGUCAGCUCGUGUCGUGAGAUGUUGGGUUAAGUCCCGCAACGAGCGCAACCCUUGAUCUUAGUUGCCAGCAUUCAGUUGGGCACUCUAAGGUGACUGCCGGUGACAAACCGGAGGAAGGUGGGGAUGACGUCAAAUCAUCAUGCCCCCUUAUGACCUGGGCU